ACAAAACAUUAAAGGAGGUCAGUUGUUCAAAGCGACAAAACGGCUCAGAUAAUAUGGGAAAACAUUUAUUUCUUUCUUGCAGUUAAUAAUCCCGUUUGGCUUUGGGGAAAAGCUGCCUGAUUUGGAGGCAUAGCAAAGAUCAAAGUGAGCGGGUUGCUGGGCUGUGCACAUCAGCAGAUUGUGAAGAUAAACACAGAUGUGUUUCCACGCAGAUUUGCAUAAGGUUGCCCUUCAUUCUUGUCCAAAAGUGUUGACUCGAAAUGACUGGACAGGAGAUUUAACUUUCAUCACAAUUAGGAGAGCUGCCAUAGUUUCUGCUGAAGAGGCAUUGCCCCUCCAUUUGUGCUCAGAGGACUAA
This 358-nucleotide long non-coding RNA is filed under the name Meleagris gallopavo (turkey). RNAcentral describes it as "lncRNA (ENSMGAG00000019010.1)". Lineage: Eukaryota; Metazoa; Chordata; Aves; Galliformes; Phasianidae. The record is from RNAcentral.